Molecule: ribosomal RNA, 398 nt
Filed under: uncultured bacterium
Lineage: Bacteria
Description: bacterial SSU rRNA
Rfam family: Bacterial small subunit ribosomal RNA
Source: RNAcentral
GGAAUAUUGGACAAUGGGCGAAAGCCUGAUCCAGCAAUGCCGCGUGAGUGAUGAAGGCCUUAGGGUUGUAAAGCUCUUUUACCCGGGAUGAUAAUGACAGUACCGGGAGAAUAAGCCCCGGCUAACUCCGUUCCAGCAGCCGCGGUAAUACGGAGGGAGCUAGCGUUGUUCGGAAAUACUGGGCGUAAAGCGCACGUAGGCGGCUUUCCAAGUCAGGGGUGAAAUCCCGGAGCUCAACUCCGGAACUGCCCUUGAAACUGGAUCGCUGGAAUCCUGGAGAGGCGAGUGGAAUUCCGAGUGUAGAGGUGAAAUUCGUAGAUAUUCGGAAGAACACCAGUGGCGAAGGCGGCUCGCUGGACAGGUAUUGACGCUGAGGUGCGAAAGCGUGGGGAGCAAAC